Molecule: microRNA precursor, 93 nt
Filed under: Gorilla gorilla gorilla (western lowland gorilla)
Lineage: Eukaryota; Metazoa; Chordata; Mammalia; Primates; Hominidae
Description: miRNA (ENSGGOG00000037493.1)
Source: RNAcentral
ACGCCCCCCGCCCCGCCACCGCCUUGGAGGCUGACCUCUUACUUUUUCGGUCGGUCUUCUUCCCUGGGCUUGGUGUGGGGGCGGGGGAGUGUC